This is a non-coding RNA of Ameiurus melas (black bullhead), 76 nucleotides long. The record is from the annotation of a GenBank genome assembly. Lineage: Eukaryota; Metazoa; Chordata; Actinopteri; Siluriformes; Ictaluridae.
GGGUGCACGGUGGCGUAGUGGUUAGCACGUUUGCCUCGCACCUCAGAGGUUGGGUGUUCGAUCCUGCCUGUACCUG